GGCCUCCCCCUCACUCCGCCCUAGACACUAAUCUACUUUCUGUCUCUAUGGAUUUGCCUAUUCUGGAUAUUUCAUAUAAGUGGGAUCAUGUCCCACAUUUUUGGUCUUUUGUAACUUGCUUCUAUCACUCGCAAAAUGUUUGCAAGGGGAGUUCCUGCUGUGGCGCAGUGGGUUGAGAAUCUGACUGCAGUGGCUCAGGUUGCUGUGAAGCUGCGGGUUCCUUCCCCAGCCUGGCACAGUGGGUUAAAGGAUCUGGCAUUGAUCUAGCUACAGUGUGGGUCACAGCUGUGGCUGGGAUUCAAUCCCUGGCCCAGGGAACUACCAUAUACCAUAGGGUGGCAAAAAAAAGUUACCAAAAAAAAAAAAGUUUGCAAGGCUCAUGUAUGACUUGGGGGGGGGGGCUUUUUUUUGGGCCGCACUUGUGGCAUAUGGAGGUUCCCAGGCUAGGGGUCGAAGUGGGAUCCGAGUUGCAUCAGCCACCACAGCUCACAGCAAUGCCAGAUCCUUAACCCACUGAGCGAGCCAGGGAUCGAAUCUGCAUCCUCAUGGGAACUAGUCAGAUUCAUUUUCACUGAGCCACCACGGGAACUCCAAUAUAAUUUUUUUUUGGUCUUUUUUUGCCUUUUCUUGGGGCCGCUCCUGCGGCAUAUCGAGGUUCCCAGGCCAGGGGGUCUCAUCACAGCUGUUGUUGCCGGCCUACGCCAGAGCCGCAGCAGCUCGGGAUCCGAGCCGCGUCUGCAACCUACGCCACAGCUCAUGGCCACGCCAGAUCCUUAAUCCACGGAGCAAGGCCAGGGAUCGAACCCACAACCUCAAGGUUCCUAGUCAGAUUUGUUAACCACUGCGCCACAAUGGGAACUCCAAUAUAACUUUUUAAGGCGUCAGCUGAUCCCAUGUGAGAGGUGUUACCACAGUCUGAUUGCUCCUAAUGUCAAAAGCCGGCUGUGAGGCUGGGGCUGAGUGGUAAUAGCAGUAAAUGUUAGGUAUGUAACCCCUGGCUCUGAAGAGCUGUCUGUCUUCUGGGGAAGAUGGGCUUUAAGUGCAUUUCUACAUAGAUAUUAAGUGCUAAUUUCUGCAGUGGAGAAACUUGAAGUAGUUUGAAAGCAUAUACUGGGCAGAGGGUGAGUGGAGGCUGCUCUCCCUUAAUGCCCACGUCUUCUGGGUGGUCGCCACCCACAGGUCUCACACUGGGACCUCCCUCCAGUGUCUAUGAAGUGACUCUCUGGGCAAUGAUGACGUGGUGCAAAGGGAGACUGCGUUUGUGUCCUUGAGGAGCUGACUCUGUCCCAGGGCAGACAGCUGUCCUUGCUGAGGGAUGGUCCAGAGUCUGGGCCGUGGGUGCUGGAGCCUGGGUGGAUCUCGUAGAAGGAUUCAAAGGCAUUUUGAGUUCCUGUUGUGAUGCAGCAGAAACGAAUCCGACUAGGAUCCAUGACGACUCUGGUUCGAUCCUUGGCCUCGCUUAGUGGGUUAAGGAUCUGGCGUUGCCGUGAGCUAUGGUGUAGGUUGCAGUCGUGGCUUGGAUCCCAAGUUUCUGUGGCUGUGGUACAGGCUGGCAGCUGCAGCUCCAAUUUGACCCCUAGCCUGGAAACUUCCAUAUGCCGUGGGUAUGGCCCUGAAAAAACAAAAAGGAAAAAAAAAAAAAAAGAGGCAUUUUGAGCGAGCACUGAUGAUGCUGGAUUGGGAUUUUGACAGAUGAGUAAAAUAUCUUAGGAAGCUGCCAUGCACCUGGCGGGACUAAGCAGAGGUCACGGGGAAAAGUGUAAAGGUAUUCAGAGUGUUCAUUGGGGGUCGGGGCAUCAAGGAGUCUGUUGUGGCCACGAUCUGGGGACCAGCUACAGGCAAGGAAGGUUGCUUCUAGGUUGUGAAGUAUCCUAAAGCAAAGGUUAGAAGCUUUACCCUACACGCCUCAGAUUUUCAGCCUCUAAUUCCGAGGACCCUCACCUGCCUUUGGGGCAGUCACUGCUUUCCUGUCCUAUGACUCACCAUGAGUGGGCGUGCAGGUGGUAUGUGGCCUCAAGGCUUUUCUAGAGGGCACCAGAAUCAUUUGGAGGGAGCUGUCUCCUUUAAGUGUCAGUGCUGAAGGCAUCAGAACUUUUAAAAGCAUGAAAUGAGGAGGCUGUUCUUUCAGAGUCCCUGGGCCGUAGAAACUUAAGAAGUUGGCAGACAGCCAGGAAGGAGCUGAAUACUGCCAGCACCUUCAGGGUAUGAAGUUUGUCUGGGCCCAAACUAAUUAUUAUUAUUUUUGGUCCUUUUUAGGGCUGUUCCUGAGGCAUAUGGAAGUUCUCAGGCUAGGGGUUGAAUCAGAGCCGCAGACUCCAGCCUACACCACAGUCACAGCAACUUGGGAUCUGAAUUGUAUCUGCAACCUACACCAUAGCUCGUGGCAACGCUGGAUCCUGAACCCACUUUGCAAGUACUGAUGAGGUUUAUCUGUUCACAAAGGGUCAAGAGAUUGGGCAAGGUAGCAUUUAGCUCGAGGUGGGUGUUUUCUUUGAAUACAUGUUUAAAGUGGCCCAUCAAUAUACAAGAUAUGUUGGGAGUUUCCUUCGUGGCUCAGGGGUUAAGGAACCCGGCUAGGAUCCAUGAGCUUGCGGGUUUGAUCCCUGGCCUUGAGCAGUGGGUUAAGGAUCUGGUGUUGCCGUGAGCUGUGGUGUAGGUCACAGACAUGGCUCGAGUCCCGUGUUGCUGUGGCUGUGGCGUAGGCCGGCAGCAGCAGCUCCAAGUAGACCCCCUAGCCUGGGAACUUACAUAUGCUUCAGGUGUGGUCCCAAAAAGCAAAAAACAAAACAAAACAAAAAACCCAAAAAAGUAUAUAUAUAUAUGACACAAGAUAUGUCACCACCUGGUUUUUAUCAUUCUGUUAUUUAAUGAUGAUGCAUCGCUUGCUUAUUGGUACCAGUGAGUCUUUUCAUGGUUUUGCAUUGCUUCCAACCAGUCAAUUUCUCAGAGUUCCCUUGUGACCUAGUGGUUACGGAUCUGACAUUGUCCCUGGAAGGCUUGGGUGGGUGUGGGUUUGAUUCCUGGCUGGGGACCUUUCAUAUGCCAUGGGCAUGGCCAAAAAAAUUCUCAUGCAUUUAUGGAUUGGUUAAGAGCAUGAACAGUCAUGACCCUGAGACUUAAUUCCCCAUUAUCGAGGGCCAUCCAGGUAGGGGAUGCAUUCAUGAGUGAUCUCACUUAAUCCUCAUUGUCUAGAAGGAGGACGGAGGAGGCUAGAGGCGUGCAGUGACUUGCUUGAGGCCUCAGAUGUGGUCAGGGCUGAGCUGGUUCCAGGGCAGGAGCUCCUGGCUGGAUCUGCUGUGCUGAGCUAUGUCUGGGGGUGACUUGGGGCGGGGGCAGAGCGCAGUUUGUUUGCACCUUCUGCAGUGACUCCGUGGAGGGGCCGCAAGGCCUGGGACAUGGCUGGGCUUCAAAGCCACCAGAGUGUGUAACCUUGGCUUCCCUUUCUUUUGUUCCACUGCAGGAAAAGAAGGGCCUGUUUUAAGAGGCCUCACCAAACAGCUGGCUGCAAAGGGCUGCUCUUUGAGACCAGGUUGUCUGCAGAGUCCCGAGCUGUCGGGGUUGGCCGGCUGCCUUUCUUCUCUGGCGGUGUGUGUGUGUUCUCCGUGUUUCCAGGGUGAAGCGCCCACGAGCAGGUCAGUGUCGGUUUUCUUUUCAUUUGGGUGACCUCUCUAAGUCCCCGUGUUUAAAGCUGGACUGAGUUCAUUGCUUUCCUUGCUGUGAAGAGCUGCCAUGGAGAUGCCCCGAAGGGCUGCAGGCCUCACCUUUCAUCCACACCCCCUCCCGCACCAGGGCUGCUGCUGGGCUCCUGCCUGGAGCUGCUGGGGUCAGUGGGUGGGACACCCCUGGGUGUUCUUAAAUCCACUGGUAGCUGGUGCCUAAACUCCAACUCAGGAUGGCGGCUGUGUGGUCCAUGUCUGGAUGCUGCAGAGCCUUUUCCAGAAUGAGCCGCCCCUGCUCUUGUCUUGACCUCCCCACCAUCUGUCUUCAAAUAGUAGCCCGAGGGCACCUUUUAGGUCAGACAGUGUUGCUGUGCUCAAAACCUUCCUGUGCUUUUUUUUCCUAAGUGUUUCGUGAAAAAUAUUUCUUUCUUUCUUUCUUUUUUCCUAGCUAACAACAUAGUUGUUUUUUUUUAUCUUACUUUAUUUUUAUUUUUUUAAAUUACUCAAUGAAUUUAUUACAUUUAUAGUUGUACAAUGAUCAACACAAUCCAAUUUUAUAGGAUUUCCAUCCCACAACCCUAGCACAUCCCCCCACCCCCCCGAACUGUCUCCUUUGGAAACCAUACGUUUUUCAAAGUCUGUGAGUCAGUAUCUGUUCUGCAAAGAAGUUCAUUCUGUCCUUUUUCCAGAUUCCACAUGUCAGUGAGAGCAUUUGAUGUUGGUGUCUCACUGUUUGGCUGACUUCACUUAGCAUGAUAAUUUCUUGGUCCAUCCAUGCUGCUGCAAAUGCCGUUAUUGUGUUCCUUUUAAUGGCCGAGUAAUAUUCCAUUGUGUAUAUGUACCACCUCUUCUGGAUCCACUCCUCUGUUGAUGGACAUUUAGGUUGUUUCCAUGUCUUGGCUAUUGCAUAGAGUGCUGCAAUGAACAUCGGAGUACAUGUGUCUUUGUGAGUCAUGGUUUUCUCUGGAUAGAUGCCCAGGAAUGGGAUUGCUGGAUCAAAUGGUAGUUCUAUUUUCAGUUUUCUGAGGCAUCUCCAUACUGUUUUCCCCAGUGGCUGCCCCAAUUUACAUUCCCACCAACAGUGUAAUAGGGUCCCCUUUUCUCCACAUCCUCUCCAGCAUUUAUUGUUUGUAGACAUUUAGAUGAUGGCCAUUCUGGCUGGUGUAAGGUGGUACCUCUUCAUGGCUUUGAUUUGCAUUUCUCUAAUAAUGAGUGAUGUUGAACAUCUUUUCAUGUGUUUUUUGGCCACCUGUAUAUCUUCUUUGGAGAAUUGUCUGUUUAGAUCUUCUGCCCAUUUUUUGAUGGGGAACAAUAUUUCUUUAAUGGAGUUAUGGUUCAGAAAUUUCCACGUGAUUAAUAUCACAUUUAAAUAUAAGUAGCUUGAUGAAAUGAUGUAUAGCAUGAAGAGGCGAAGACUUAUAUUCUAAAGGUUUGAAUCCCUCGAUUUAAGGUCUAGAGCUGCCAUUUAGAAUGAGAGCUUGUGAAUUUAAAGAUGUCAUUUGGCAUCUCGGAGUUUUCUUAUCUGUUAAAAUUGGCAGAUGUGAUAUAAUUCUGAUUUCUUCAAAACCGUGUUGGUGUAAGGAUCAAAUGAGCUGAUAGGCUUUUUUUUUUUUUUUUUCCUUUCUCUGUAUCGUAUUAUCUUCCAUCAAAAAGUUUUAUAGGUGGCUCAGCAUUAACAAGCCCAACUAGGAUCCAUGAGGACGUGGGUUUGAUUCCUGGCCUCACUCAGCGGGUUAAGGAUCCCGCAUUGCUGUGAGCUAUGAUGUAGGUUGCAGAUGCAGCUCGGAUCCUGUGUUGCUGUGGCGGUGGUGUAGGCUGACAGCUGUAGCUCCGAUCCAACCCCUAGCCUGGGAACCUCCGUAUGCCUCAAGUGCGGCCCUAAAAAAAGAAAAAAGAAAAAA
Molecule: long non-coding RNA, 5560 nt
Filed under: Sus scrofa (pig)
Lineage: Eukaryota; Metazoa; Chordata; Mammalia; Artiodactyla; Suidae
Description: lncRNA (ENSSSCG00015074883.1)
Source: RNAcentral